CCUACGGGAGGCAGCAGUGGGGAAUAUUGGGCAAUGGAGGCAACUCUGACCCAGCAACGCCGCGUGAAUGAUGAAGGCCUUCGGAUUGUAAAGUUCUGUGAUGGGGGAUGAACACAAUGACGGUACCCCAAUAGCAAGCCACGGCUAACUACGUGCCAGCAGCCGCGGUAAUACGGAGGUGGCAAGCGUUAUCCGGAAUGACUGGGCGUAAAGGGUGCGUAGGUGGUUUAGUAAGUUGGCGGUGUAAUUCCGGGGCUCAACCUCGGCGCUACCGCCAAAACUAUUAGACUAGAGUGCAGGAGGGGUAAGUGGAAUUCCUAGUGUAGCGGUGGAAUGCGUAGAUAUUAGGAGGAACAUCAGGUGCGAAGGCGACUUACUGGACUGUAACUGACACUGAGGCACGAAAGCGUGGGGAGCAAACAGGAUUAGAUACCCGUGUAGUC
This 443-nucleotide ribosomal RNA is filed under the name uncultured bacterium. RNAcentral describes it as "partial 16S ribosomal RNA". It matches the Rfam family "Bacterial small subunit ribosomal RNA", at positions 338 to 795 of the family's 1533-position model. The record is from RNAcentral.